Molecule: transfer RNA, 64 nt
Filed under: Fukomys damarensis (Damara mole-rat)
Lineage: Eukaryota; Metazoa; Chordata; Mammalia; Rodentia; Bathyergidae
Source: Rfam by way of RNAcentral
AUAUAGCUCAGUGGUUCCAGCUUCUGCCUCCUAAGCACAAGAACCUGAGUUUGAUUCCCGGUAU